This is a long non-coding RNA of Chinchilla lanigera (long-tailed chinchilla), 1576 nucleotides long. RefSeq lists it as uncharacterized. NCBI's taxonomy places the organism in Eukaryota, Metazoa, Chordata, Mammalia, Rodentia, Chinchillidae. The record is from RefSeq and is a predicted model, not a curated record. The transcript has 4 exons.
GUCAGGCAAAAGAAGGAUAAGAGAAGGUGGUGGUGGUGAAACCACAGGACUCCAGAGCACCUUGCCGGGGAACAGAGCCUCCGGAGCCUUCCAGGGCUGUGCUGGGACAGGAAGUCUGGCCACUGCCUGCGCUAUGUCCAGGGAUCCCAGAGAGGGCCUGACCAGGGAGCUUCUGUUUCACUUCCCCUCAGCGUGGGCCCACCCAUCCUGAGGGACCUGGGCUGUUGAUUCUUUGGGGUCUCUCACCAUGGGCUCAACUUCUGCUUCUCCUACAAGAAGUUGCCGAGCUUAGCUGCUCUGGAGCUAAGGAGAGAGCUCCUCCUAGAGAGAAUCCUGCCCUACCCGCAGCAUAACGAGACAGAUUGUGAUGUCAUGAACAUCACAUGCAUGCUUCUGCUUGUCCCACUGCCAAGGUCCCGCUACCACUUGGAUGCUCUCUUUGCGGCAACAGAAUGAGAAAGCCCGUGAAGGAGAAAGACACCCCGAGAGUUCAGGACCCCAAAGCACAGAAAACAAAAGCAAAAACUGACAAAUGGGAUUACAUCCAACGAGAACUUUGCACACCAAAGCAAUCAACAGAGUGAAGAGACAACCUAUAGAAUGUGAGGAAACCAAGACCCAAUCUCAAUGGGUGGUUCAUUAGAAGACAGAAUUUCUUACUAGUCCUAUGAGGCCGCUAACUUAGUCCAUGAGAGGCCGAGGCGGCCUCCAGCAGGAGCACACACAGGAAUGUGUUGUGUGAAUCCUAACAAGAAUACAAAUGGAAGAACGUUCAGUAGCUAAGCAAUAAGAACUAUUUAGGUCACUGGAGUGGAGAAAAAAGAGGUCGCUACUUAACAGAAAUGGCAUGUAUCCAAAUAUAGAUGCAGAUUUCUGAACACCUGUUGAACAUCAGAUGACGAAGAAACUAUUAGAAUUUUCAAAACUCCAGACCGAAAGCUUAAAAUGGUCAGUCACCAAUUGCUAAGGGGGUUUAGCCCAGAAAACCAGGUCUCCUUGAGAGAGAGAGGUUGACACAGAGAGAGAGAGACGGAGAGAGAGAGAGAGAGAGAGGGAGGGAGGGAGAGAAGGCGAGUACAGUAAUUGCUUCCGGAGACACAGCCGCGACAAAUAUUUUCAGUUGUCGAGGGUGAGGCAGGAGGGAAUGAAAGAAAUGGAAACUAACGAAUAGUAACACGACACUCCCCUUAGUUCAACAGGCUGGUGUGGCUGCACACCCUAACUUCGGAGUGCCGGCUGGGCAAAGGCAAGGCUGUGGACAAGACAAAGACUGGGGAGGUGGCACCCGGGACCUCAGAGCAGGGAGCUGGGGCACACACCCUCUACUUGCACUCACUCAUUCAUCCAGUAAAGUCCUGCCCCCAGGGCUCUAUUCACCCCAGCCCCCUCCAGCCCCAGGCACCGCCCCCUCUGCAGGAGAUGCUGAUGACAGCCUCGCUGUCCUCCUUCCAGCGCCCAGGACGGGGUGCACGGGAACAGCGGCCAGGAAGGGGGCCUCGUAUCACCGGGGACGGUCGGGGACGCCACCCGCUGGGGACAGCCGGCCGGGCUAGGCGGCCGCGCCCGGGGCAGGGCG